UUUUUUUUUUUUUGUCUCAUUUAAAAUUUCCUAGUAUAGUCUCUUCUAGAUGUUAGGUAAUGGAAAAAUAAAGUAAAUUUUGAGUGAAUUAAUUUCAGAUCAAUAUCAUACUAAUUAUAUUUGACUAUUUCUUCCCCUUAUUACUAAAUUACAGUCUUUGCUUUUGUAAACAUCUCUAGGGACACAGAGGAUACUUUUGUCUAUGAAACCCCCCACUACCCAAUUCUACCCCUCAGAACUGUAUGCACAAGGCAUUUUAUAAAAGCUCUAGGCAUUAGCUUGCAUCCUAGUCACUCUAAACUAGAUGAUGAGUAAGAAUAUAUUAUGAGUCUACUGUGAGAGAAAAGAAGGGUGGAUUUGUAUGUUUUAUAUACUAAUUAUGAAUGUAAAAUCUGUCCCUUAGUUUCCCAAUGAAUUAAUAUUUAAUACUGGGCUGCCAUAUAAUGAAGAAGGGGAUAAAAUCUUGCAUUUCUCUUUUUCAUGCAGAAUACUUUGAGAAAAUAUAGCAAAGUCCUAGAGAUCACAGCCCAUUUCCAUUGUGCAUACGAUGAUGAAGGUGGGAAAUUUACAUGUUUGAACUAUGUGAUUUUAGAUAUUAAAUAAUAAUUCUGUGAAUGUAUAGUGUCUCUCUUUAAAAAAAAUAUUUUGCAUCAGAUAAACACAUCUGGUAAUCUUGGCAAAAUAUCCCACCUCUGCUUGUGCCUUGCUAUAAAAUGCAAUUACUUGUGGUUUGGUGUUGAAUUGGUUCAUCGUUACACAUGGUUCAACACUUCAAACAAACAAACACAAACCUUUAGGAAGAUGGAUAGAGUCCCAGGACAAUCUCUUUGUCCUUAAAUGUAACUAAGAGGAAAUUCUUACUGAUGAAUUAGAAACAUCAGAAAUUAUAUUUGAUUUCCCAGGUUUUUUCAUCUUAAAAUAUUAUGAGUUUAAACAAAUAAAUGAGCAUAAUUGACAGGAAAUAUUUUAUAGUGGUCUAUGAAAAACUGAGUCUACAUUUUUUGUGUGACUUAAGGAACUUUAUACAGGGAAUCCUGAAUAUGUUUCACCUAUGGUCUUGUAUAACAUAAGUUCAUAGAUUUCUAUCCAGAGUUGUAGCAACCACUCGAAGUGUCCAUAUAUAACUCAUCCUUAGUACAUCGUUCAACACCCAUUUCCUCACUCUCAUAGCUCAUCACAAACAAGAUUUUUAGAACAUAGUCUGUGAAUAAACAGCUAAAAAACUCCAUGCUUAGUAAACAGAACUUGGCUGUUCAGACAAACAAAUGUAAUAUAGUGAGUUAUCGACCUCCCUUCUUGUAACAUUAGACUCAACCAAUAAAUCAGUGUUUUAACAUAGAUUAUGUAGUAGGUGUAUUAUAAAAAAAACUGCAUCAUUGCAACCUUUCCUAUUUUUUUUAGUAGAUCUGUGAGUUCACAUACCUAAUUUCAGGGAAGCUAAAAAUUUCAAAGGACUAUAUGACUCCUUGCUUACUAAGAUAUGCUCUAACUACCCAUUCUAAAACUAGUACCAUUUAUCAAUAACUUAAUAAUAAAUUCAAGGAAACAAGAGGCAAUGCAAAGUAUUAACUAAAGGCUUUAUCCUAAUGUUAGUGAAACAGAUUAAAGAAAACUUUACUCCAAGUCCUCAUAUUUCUUCUCCCUACAUUGGGAGGUAAAAAAAUUCCUUUGAAUAAUUUAAUUAGUAAGGGAAUUUGUAAAAAAAAGUGUUUUUUUUUAAAUAGGUGGGGGGGUAAUAUGAGGAUACCCCAGCUAUAAUCUUUCAUGUAUAUGAGUUUAUUUUUGCUUUGUAGGACUACAUUCCUUGUCUUAUAUUUUAACUAUUAUGAGUGAAGAUUUAGCACCUAUAUUUGAAGAAGCUCAUCUACACUAAAACCUGUUUAUAAGUAAAUGUACACAAAGAAUGUUAAUAUGAUUUUGCCAGGGAUUGAACCCACAUCCUCAGGGAUACUAGUUGAGCUUAUUAAAAUAUGGAUUUAGUGACCUUUCUCUGGUGAUUCUGAUUUGUAAGGCUGAGAAAGAUUCUGGUCACCUCUAUCUAUUCAAAGCUAUGCAACAGAUUUUGUUGUAAUCUUACUGAUCAAAAAUUUUCAGAAAACAGAAAAUAAUUUUAAUUAAAAUUAUAUUUUCCUGUAAUGGUAUAAAUAAUUCUCACAGUGUCCAUCAAAAGUCUAAUGUAUCAUAAUAACAGCAAACAUAUUAAACACCAUUUUAAAAAAACCUGAUCCGGAGUUACCAUUGUGGCUCAGUGGUUAAUGAAUCUGACUGGGAACUAUGAGAUUGCAGGUUUGAUCCCUGGCCUCUCUCAGUGGACUAAGGAUCUGGCAUUGCUGUGAGCUGUGGUGCAAGUCACCAACUUGGCUUUGAUCCCUCAUUGCUGUGGCUCUGGUGUGGGCCGGUGGCUACAGCUCCGAUUAGACACCUAGCCUGGGAACCUCCAUAUGCCAUGGGUGCAGCUGUAGAAAUGAAAACAAACAAACAAACAAAAAAAAAUUAAACCUGAUUCUUAGAGUGGGGGUAAGGAGACAUUUGAUGACAUCCACUAAGUUCCUGAAUAAAAUACAAACAUACUCAAUGAUAGUUGAAUAUGCCUUCAUGUUGAUAUGUAAAUGUAUAAUAAAUUAUAUACAUUAUUAAUGGAAUAAAAUAAUUGAAAUCAUGUUUUAAUACCAUUCAGAAUAUAAAUUCAUUAGGACUACAUAUUUUUUAAAUCACACAAUAUUAAAAAGGAGUUACAGAUUUUUAAAGAUACUUGUCAGUUUAACUUCACAAAGUUAGCUAAAAAAGGAUUUUCGAGAUCUGUAAUUACAGUUCUUCAAGAUGCAGUGAUCCAUGAAACCAAACUUAGGCAGGAAAAAAGAAAAAGGACACCAAAAUAUAAGAACUAUAACUUAAUUCUGUCCUCCAUCAUUGUUGCUCUGUUCAAACUUAAAAUUUUUAACGUCUCUCAAGAUUCCAGCUCUGUAUGUAGCUCAUAAUACCAAGAUCUUCAGCAUAUUUUUUAAUUUAAUUAUUAUUUUUUAAAAUUUUGGCCAUACUCUUGGCAUGUGGAAGUUCCCAGCCUGUGCCACAGCAGUGACAACACUGGAUCCUUAACCCACUGAGCCACCAGGGAACUCCCAUUUUAAAAAUCAAUGUUUCCCCAAGCUUAGCUUCUUUCAAUUCCUAGAAUUACUUAUAAACAUACAGGCAAGCCAUCUAACCUCAGCUUCUUCUAACACAAUGCCAGACUAUAUUAACAAUCUCUUCAUUUACCUGUAGAGUUUUAAAAUCACAUUUACUUAAAGGAUAGCAUGAAUUUCUCAGAAAUCUCUUUAAGGCAGCCUUCACAUCCUUAUUCCUCAGGCUAUAGAUCAUGGGAUUCAGCAUAGAAAUCACCAGUGUAUAAAACACAGAGGCCAUUUUACCAGUAUCCAAUGAAUGGUUUGUUCGAGGCUGCAAAUACAUGAAAAGGAGGGUUCCACAGAAAACUGACACUGCCCUCAUAUGUGAUGCACAGGUGGAAAAGGCUUUUUUUCCAUCCUUCUGAUAAACGUAUUCUUAGAAUGGACAAAACAUGUUGAAAUAAGACACCAGAACUAUAGUUAUGGAAGAAAUCAAGUUUGUAGCUACAGGUAUAAAUACUACUGUUUCUGGAAAGUAGGUAUUAGAGCAGGAUAAUGCUAACAGAGGGACAUUAUCACAGUAAAAAUGACUGAUUACAUUAGAAGAGCAGUAAGACAGAGAAGACACAAGAUGAAACUACAAUAGCUGUGGAAAAACUGUAGAGUGGGAGGGUAUGUGAGAGAAACUUGCAGAAGGCAGAUCCACUGAGAUAACCACCACCAUGUAGAGCAAAGGGGUACAAAAGGCUCAUAGCAGUCAUAGGCCAAGACAGCUAACAUGAAAACCUCAGCCACAAUGAAAUCUAAGAACCCUCCUAACUAGAUGGCACAUUCGUAGUAAGAGGUGGUGUGCUUUUUACUAAAACAUUGCUGAGCAUUGUCUACCCACCUCUAAUGAAAUUCAGUUUCAGCCUCAUAGAGUUUCUGCAUGGCUGUGGCAGUGAGAUUUAUUGAAGCUUUAUAAACCUUUCAGAGCCUAACUCUGAAGCACAGGUGAUUCUAGCAUCCACAAAUUGCCUUUUGCAUCCUUGGGGAAUAUUUCACCUGGGAUUUACUCCUUAACAAGGUUUCUGUCUAGGAGUUCAUCCAGACACCCCAGCAGUCUUUGGGUAUGUGUGUGUGGUAGUCUGGACCUACAUUACUGAAGUGAGUUCAACUCUGUGACAUCUGAUUAAAGUGUACCUGUUAGAGUGGCUCAUUUGCAUUGAGAUUUGUUAUUGCAAAAAUGUAAUAUUAAAGAUUUAGAAACCAAUAGGUUAGCAGUGAAAAGAGAACAAAGUCCAUCAAUAAAUUGUAUUUUUAUUAUGCCACUAUCUCUGUUGUUUUUUUCUCUGCUUUUACUUCAAAGAAUACAAAAUUAAGAUAGUCAUUAUUUCAAGGAAUGGGGUAAAGUGGAUGUUCAAAGUGUGGAUUUUUUCUCCAAAAAACAAUCCUCAGUAAUAAAAGUAUUAUUUUAAUUUUUCUUCAUAAUUGUCUUUCAAAUGAGAAAAGAUAGACGAUAACUCCAAGAGUCAAACAGAAUGUUUAAAAAUAAAGCCCUUGUGUCAUGUCUAUACAUUUCCUGUCCCACAAAUAAAUUUUUUGCACCCUGAAUAUUUUAGAGAUACAUGUUUACACAUUAAAAGACUAAAAGAAUUAUGGAGAGAAGAACCCACCAUGGAGUAAUUCUCUCUUUGAAGCUUAAGUUCUCUUGGCAAUAAUAAUUAUUUUCCAUCAUAAGAAUUUUUUUUCCUGUAAGGCCUUACAUUUAAAGCUGGAAGUUGAAGCCAAUGGCAAAAUGGCAUGUACAUAAUAUGUAAAUGCAGGCAUAUGGAACAAUAAUAUAUACUUCAUAAGAACAGAGGAAAACAAAACAGAUUCACAUUAAAUAUAUGCGGAUGGAUACCUGGUCAUGGGAGAGAGGACUGAAUAAAUUAAGAUGAAAAAUAUCUGUUACAACCACUAUGGAGAACAGUGUGGAGGUACCUUAGAAAUCUAUACAUGUAUAUCUGGACAAAACUCUCCUUAAAAGAGACACAUGCACCCACAUGUUCAUUGCAGCACUCUUCACAAUAGCCAGGACAUGGAAACAACCCAAAUGUCCAUCGACAGAGGAUUGGAUUCGGAAGAGGUGGUAUAUAGACACAAUGGAAUACU
This 5240-nucleotide long non-coding RNA is filed under the name Sus scrofa (pig). Its description in RNAcentral is "lncRNA (ENSSSCG00005029635.1)". Lineage: Eukaryota; Metazoa; Chordata; Mammalia; Artiodactyla; Suidae. The record is from RNAcentral.